This 76-nucleotide transfer RNA is filed under the name Parcubacteria group bacterium ADurb.Bin216. Its description in RNAcentral is "tRNA-Pro". It matches the Rfam family "tRNA". Rfam says of the family: Transfer RNA (tRNA) molecules are approximately 80 nucleotides in length. Their secondary structure includes four short double-helical elements and three loops (D, anti-codon, and T loops). The record is from RNAcentral.
CUCUCUUUAGGCUAGCGGUUAAGUCGCUGCGUUUGGGGCGCAGACACCGAAGGUUCGAAUCCUUCAGGAGAGACCA